RNAcentral lists this ribosomal RNA (253 nucleotides) under uncultured bacterium. RNAcentral's name for it is "partial 16S ribosomal RNA". It matches the Rfam family "Bacterial small subunit ribosomal RNA", at positions 524 to 776 of the family's 1533-position model. The record is from RNAcentral.
UACGGAGGGUGCAAGCGUUGUCCGGAUUUAUUGGGUUUAAAGGGUGCGUAGGUGGUCAAUUAAGUCAGUGCUGAAAUAUCCCGGCUUAACCGGGAGGGUGGCAUUGAUACUGAUUGACUUGAGUAGAGUUGAGGUAGGCGGAAUUGACGGUGUAGCGGUGAAAUGCUUAGAUAUCGUCAAGAACACCGAUAGCGAAGGCAGCUUACUAAGCUCAAACUGACACUGAUGCACGAAAGUGUGGGGAGCAAACAGG